UUUAUAAAAUAUUCCUUUUAAACAUCUUCUCUUGAAUGUCUAAUGGCCAUUUCAAGUUUUAACAUACAUAAAAUUAAGUUUUUGACAUUUCUAACCAAAACAGGACUUGCAAAGUCCAAAAUAUCAUUUUGACAUUUCUUUUCCUAAAAUAGUACUACAAAUAAAAGAUCAAUAUUGCCAGUUUUUUGAAGUGAACUUAUUUGAAUAAUAUAGACUUUUUAAAAAGAUCUUUGGAUUUUGUUUUUCUUUGUUCCUUUAGGAAAGAGUAUUAAAUAAUAAUAUUUAAGAUUAUAGUACUUUGAGUAUAUUUAAAUGAAACUACCCAGAGAUGGAUUUCCAAUCUAAGUUUUCACUACCUUUUGUGCCCCUGAGAGCCAGUA
This 380-nucleotide long non-coding RNA is filed under the name Pan troglodytes (chimpanzee). RNAcentral describes it as "long non-coding RNA NONPTRT010584". The record is from RNAcentral. Lineage: Eukaryota; Metazoa; Chordata; Mammalia; Primates; Hominidae.